AUCCACAUGACGAGUCCGAAAUAGGAUGAAAUGCGCAUCUUGGAU
RNAcentral lists this non-coding RNA (45 nucleotides) under Trichobilharzia regenti. The record is from RNAcentral. Lineage: Eukaryota; Metazoa; Platyhelminthes; Trematoda; Strigeidida; Schistosomatidae.